AUGCACGCUGGCGGCGUGCCUAAUACAUGCAAGUCGAGCGAACAGACGAGGAGCUUGCUCCUCUGACGUUAGCGGCGGACGGGUGAGUAACACGUGGAUAACCUACCUAUAAGACUGGGAUAACUUCGGGAAACCGGAGCUAAUACCGGAUAAUAUAUUGAACCGCAUGGUUCAAUAGUGAAAGACGGUUUUGCUGUCACUUAUAGAUGGAUCCGCGCCGCAUUAGCUAGUUGGUAAGGUAACGGCUUACCAAGGCGACGAUGCGUAGCCGACCUGAGAGGGUGAUCGGCCACACUGGAACUGAGACACGGUCCAGACUCCUACGGGAGGCAGCAGUAGGGAAUCUUCCGCAAUGGGCGAAAGCCUGACGGAGCAACGCCGCGUGAGUGAUGAAGGUCUUCGGAUCGUAAAACUCUGUUAUUAGGGAAGAACAAAUGUGUAAGUAACUAUGCACGUAUUGACGGUACCUAAUCAGAAAGCCACGGCUAACUACGUG
Molecule: ribosomal RNA, 496 nt
Filed under: uncultured bacterium
Lineage: Bacteria
Description: partial 16S ribosomal RNA
Rfam family: Bacterial small subunit ribosomal RNA
Source: RNAcentral